This 299-nucleotide ribosomal RNA is filed under the name uncultured soil bacterium. RNAcentral describes it as "partial 16S ribosomal RNA". It matches the Rfam family "Bacterial small subunit ribosomal RNA", at positions 26 to 322 of the family's 1533-position model. The record is from RNAcentral.
AGAUUGAACGCUGGCGGCAUGCCUUACACAUGCAAGUCGAACGGCAGCACGGGGGCAACCCUGGUGGCGAGUGGCGAACGGGUGAGUAAUGCAUCGGAACGUGCCCUGGAGUGGGGGAUAACGUAGCGAAAGUUACGCUAAUACCGCAUAUUCUGUGAGCAGUAAAGCAGGGGAUCGCAAGACCUUGCGCUUUAGGAGUCGGACGAUGUCGGAUUAGCUAGGUGUGAGGUAAGCUACACCGAAGGCGACGAUCCGUAGCGGUCGUGACGAGGAUGAACUCCGACCACACGUGGGACUGA